Sorghum bicolor (sorghum) is the source of this 126-nucleotide microRNA precursor. NCBI's taxonomy places the organism in Eukaryota, Viridiplantae, Streptophyta, Magnoliopsida, Poales, Poaceae. The record is from Rfam.
CAGGCAAGAGCCACUCAGGCUAGCCAAGGUGACCGCCCACAAACUCAGCUGAACUGGCCAUGCAACCGGAACUCGCAAUGCCAUGUAGGCAAGUCAUCCUUGGCUACCAAAGGCAGGCUCUCGCCA